Molecule: non-coding RNA, 350 nt
Organism: Clostridium sp. CAG:452
Lineage: Bacteria; Bacillati; Bacillota; Clostridia; Eubacteriales; Clostridiaceae
Source: Rfam
AGAGUAAAUUGAACAGUCGCGUGUAGAUGCCGCAAGGCCCUAUAUGAGGAAAGUCCGGGCUCCAUAGAGCAAUAAUGCUGGAUAACGUCCAGUGAGGGUGACCUUAAGGAAAGUGCAACAGAAAAUAACCGCCGUUUUAAACGGCAAGGGUGAAAAGGUGAGGUAAGAGCUUACCGCAAAUAUGGUGACAUAUUUGGUCAAUGCAAACCCCAUUUGGAGCAACACCUAAAUACAAGAAGGUUAAGACUGCUCGUCGUCUUCUUAAAUUGGUGGCUUGAAAUAUAUAGUAAUAUAUAUUCUAGAUAAAUGACUGUUUUUAACAGAACCCGGCUUAUAGAUUUACUCUAAAA